This 2735-nucleotide ribosomal RNA is filed under the name Candidatus Hodgkinia cicadicola. RNAcentral describes it as "bacterial LSU rRNA". It matches the Rfam family "Bacterial large subunit ribosomal RNA". The record is from RNAcentral. Lineage: Bacteria; Pseudomonadati; Pseudomonadota; Alphaproteobacteria; Hyphomicrobiales.
UUUAGCGUCAGUAGAGCAUCUGGUGAAUGCCUUGGUGUGCAAAGCCUAUGAAGGACGUUUGAAAAUCGAAAUUCGCGUGGAGCGUUGCUAGGAAGCGCGAGUCUCCGAAUGGGACAACCUGCUCGUGCUAGGUCACGAGCGUCUGUUUAGAUGGAAACGCGGAGAACUGAAACAUCUUAGUAUCCGCAGGAAAGGAAAUCAUUGAGAUUCCGUUAGUAGUGGUGAGCGAACGCGGAGGAGGCUGUGUUAAUUUUAGAGCGUUAAAGUGACAGUUUGGAACAACGGGCCGCAAAAGCUGGUGAAGAGCCCAGGGCUUUAAACGCUUUUUUGUUAACGGAAAGUAGGGCGGGACACGUGGAAUCCUGUUCGAAUAUGGGAGGACCACCUCCUAAGCCUAAAUACUAUUGCACAACCGAUAGCGAACUAGUACCGUGAGGGAAAGGUGAAAUUAGAGUCUGGAGAAGACAGUGAAAUAGAAUCUGAAACCGGAUGCUUACAAACAGUCGGAGAGCGUUUAUGCUUGACGACGUACCUUUUGUAUAAUGGGUCAACGAGUUAAUGUAGUAAGCACAGCUUAAGCCUUAAGGCGUAGGCGUAGCGAAAGCGAGUUUUAAAUGGGCGUUAAUAGUUUGCUGCAUUAGACCCGAAACCGAGUGAUCUAACCAUGAACAGGCUGAAUGCUGGGUAAUUCUAGCUGGAGGGCCGAACCCGUGUCUGUUGCAAAAGGCUGGGAUGAUUUGUGGUUAGGGGUGAAAGGCUAAUCAAACUCGGAGAUAGCUGGUUCUCUGCGAAAUCUAUUUAGGUAGAGUGCUGAGUGGACUGCUGUAGGGGUAGAGCUCUGGAUAGGUGAUGGGAGGUCACACUUUACUGAUCUUAACCAAACUGCGAAUACUACAGUAAGAUGCUUAGUAAACACACCGCGGGCGCUAACGUCCGCGGUGGAGAGGGAAACAACCCAGACUUGAAGCUAAGGUCCUUAAAUCGUGGCUAAAUGUGAAAGGUUGUGAACACUCUUUUACAAUCAGGAUGUAGGCUUAGAAGCUGCCAUCAUUUAAAGAAAGCGUAACAGCUCACUGAUCUAUGAGCGUUUGCACCGAAAAUGUAUCGGGACUAAGUCGCGUACCGAAGCUCAGGGUGUUACCGAUAUUGGUAACACGGUAGCAGAGCGUUCCGUGUGCUUGUGAAGGCGGUUGGUGAUGGUCGCUGGAGGCUUCGGAAGUGAGAAUGUUGAUAUGAGUAACGUAAAUGAAAGUGAAAAACUUUCACGCCGAAAGACUAAGGUUUCCUAUCGUAUAGAAGUUGAUCUUAAUAGGGUUAGCCGGCACCUAAGGUGAAGCAGAACUGCGUAGCCGAUGGAAAUCGCGUUAAUAUUCGUGAGCCGUUUUUAGGUGACUUGGUGGCGGUGUUGUAAAUUCUGAUUGGAUUGUUUUUUGCAGUAUCGUUGCCAACGGGAAACAGCCUAAAAGUUUUGGCCGUACUAAAACCGACACUGGUAGUCUAGUAGAGUAUACUGAGGCGUUGAGUGAAUUGUGCUGAAGGAACUCGGCAAAAUGCGCGCGUAACUUCGGGAAAAGCGUGGCCUGUUUAGGGUAACCUAAUUCCAGGCGUAAUAAAAAUGGGGGGAGCGACUGUUUAUCAAAAACACAGGACUCUGCAAAAUCGUGAGAUGAGGUAUAGGGUCUGACGCCUGCCCGGUGCUGGAAGGUUAACAUUGAACGUUGAUAGCGUUUGGUAUAAGCCUCAGUAAACGGCGGCCGUAACUAUAACGGUCCUAAGGUAGCGAAAUUCCUUGUCGGAUAAGUUCCGACCUGCACGAAUGGCGUAACGACUUCCCUACUGUCUCCAGCACAAGCUCAGUGAAAUUGAAUUCCCCGUGAAGAUGCGGGGUACCUGCGGUAAGACGGAAAGACCCCGUGCACCUUAACUAUAACUUUAUAUUGGCGCAAUCUGCGGUCUGUGUAGCGUAGAUGGGAGGCAAUAAGGAAUGUGCGCUAGCACAUUCGGAGUCGAUAAUGAAACACCAUUCUGGCAACAGAAAGUGCCUUACUGUAAUUUGGUAAACCAAAUUCAGGACAUUGUAUGGCGGGUAGUUUGACUGGGGCGGUCGCCUCCUAAAGAGUAACGGAGGCGUGCGAAGGUAAACUCAGAACGGUUGGAAACCGUUCGUAGAGCGUAAUGGUAUAAGUUUGCCUGACUGUGAGACGUACGUGUCAAGCAGAGACGAAAGUCGGUCAUAGUGAUCCGGUGGUUCCGAGUGGAAGGGCCAUCGCUCAACGGAUAAAAGGUACGCCGGGGAUAACAGGCUAAUAACUCCUGAGAGCUCUUAUCGACGGAGUUGUUUGGCACCUCGAUGUCGACUCAUCGCAUCCUGGGGCUGAAGAGGGUCCCAAGGGUAUGGCUGUUCGCCAUUUAAAGCGGUACGUGAGUUGGGUUCAGAACGUCGCGAGACAGUUCGGUCCCUAUCUACCGUGGGUGGAAGAGCGCUAACGAGGCCUGUCUUUAGUACGAGAGGACCGAGAUGGACGUACCUAUGGUAUAACCUGUUGUUUCGCCAGAAGCAUGGCAGGGUAGCUACGUACGGAAUGGAUAACCGCUGAAAGCAUCUAAGUGGGAAGCCAGCUCGAAGACUAGCGCUCUAAUUAGAGUCGUGAUAGAUUAUCACGUUGAUAGGCCAGAAGUGUACAUGUGGUAACGCAUUCAGCUUACUGGUACUAAAUACUCGAAAGCUAAUUUUA